RNAcentral lists this long non-coding RNA (3093 nucleotides) under Capsicum annuum. RNAcentral describes it as "long non-coding RNA (CANN_LNC016600)". The record is from RNAcentral. Lineage: Eukaryota; Viridiplantae; Streptophyta; Magnoliopsida; Solanales; Solanaceae.
CAAGAGCUUAUUCCACUCUUGGACCUUAAAUACCACACACAACAUAAACCUAUCUCUUACGUGACCUCAAGAGAACCGGAAUCCCCAAGAAACCAAUGUUUCUAAGCAAGCUACCAACACAAAGAUUCCACCUUGCCACAAGGAUUCCACCUUGCAAGACACUCUAUGGUGCUCUCAAAACAUAUCAUCAAAGUCUAAAUGACAAAAUAACCUAAUUGUUCUAUUUAUAGGCUAGGGCAACACUUGUUACAUAAAUGACCAAAAAGGCCCUUAAUGAGCCCAAAUAAAGGGGCUCGGCUUCUUGGAUAGCUUUGGAGUGUUGGAACUUGUUCUCUACACUUUAAAUCUUUUUCCUUGGUUAGGCAGCCCAACAAGCUCGGGUCUUCCCUCACGUAUUCAUGUCCUCGAGUGAUAAGAUGCCUCUUUGACCCAUAUCAUCCUCCCCUCCUUAGAAAGGAUUCGUCUUCGAAUCCGAACCUUGCAAAAUAAUAGGAAGGACAAGAAAACACAAGUUCCUCAAGGAAUGAGGGUUAGGAUUAGCGUAGUCAAUCAUAGCAUCAUGCCAAGGUGCUCAAAUUUCACAUAUAACCAAACAUCCCUCGGGUUCUCAAAAAUGACACACCAAUCAUGGGAAACCCGAAUUACAUACAAAACAUGCUUAGCACCAACAUAACCAUACCCACACAAUGCACACACGUCAUUCCCGAAUAUGAUUUGAAAUGAAUCAACAUUACAUUUCCAAUGGUCACCGGGAUCAAAGGGGUAGAAUUUCCAUGGACACGGGUGGAGGACAUACUUCAUUUCCCCAAGACUACCACCAUUACACUCAUUGACACCCUCUAUACUAGCAUGAUCUACAACAAAAACAACUAGAUGGUCAUCCUUAGUUAAUCGGCCAACAUGUUCAACAUCACCAUUUUCACACACAAGUUGGUCUUCAUGACUUCCAUAAGACAAUGUACUAUCACUUGCCACAAUGGCUUCAACACUAGAUGGAUCAACUAGUGUUUCCACAAUCUCAAGUUGUACAUUAUCAUCACUAAAUGGAGACACAUUCGGCUCACCUAAAGGCAAACUAUCAUUCACACUUAGUUGACUUCUAGCCUCAUUCACUAAAGUGCAAGAGUUGGUUUGAUUACCUUGUAGCUCAUGUGGAGCAUGUCCACUCACGGGAACUUGAUUAGGAAGGCUUGGUUGCUCUACCAAGUUAUCCAACUCCUUGAAAAGAGAGCUUUCCAUCCCUUCCAUUUUUUCUUCCACUCGGUUUAUUAUUCUUUCCAUGCUCUCUAUUCGACUACUAAGGUCAUGUUUCAUACCCAUUAUGGCAGCCAUCAAAUCAUUCAUGGUCAUCUUUCCCGAUGUCAUAGUACCUAUUAAGAACACUAAAACAUAAUUAAAACAAUAACAUGUUAAUGUUAGCAAAAAUCAGUCCACGAGUCGACUCCAAACAAUCCACAAUUCCUCACUAUCACACUUUGAUGUUUUCACUCUAUUGGUCUCACAAGUGUUGAUAACUCGCUUAUACUCCAAUGAGGUUACUUGGUCCCAAUUGUGGCUCGAGGUCGGAGUAGAUUCUUGUUUGAAACGACUCAAAUAAGUAAUGUACGAACUUGAACCAAAAGAUACUACAACUCAAAAAUGAGAAAAGCAGAAAACAAACAACGUUAACACGAAGAAACGUAUUCAAAAAUUAAUUUACAAUCUAGUAGAGGAGUACUAGCUUGUCGAUUAGUUAUUAGAGUCAACAAACGAAACUAGGAACCAACAAUAAGAAACUAAGAAAAUCCAAAUUUGUGCCAAAAUUUGUUGUGUGAACUGUAACAGUGACGUGGCAGUCAUGUAUUGGUUGUGGCCUUACAAUUUUUUUAUUUUUCAAAAUUGGAAGUCUUGAACAAUUGGUGAUUUGGAAUUGGUGGGAAUUGUUUUGGAGGGAAACAAGUCUUGAAAUCCUCUUCAAAUUCAAAAGAAUGGAAGACUUGACUUUUUGCACUAGUUCCCUAAAACAAGGUCCUUAAAACAAGGAAAGUUGUUGAGAAGUGAUUGUCUAGUUGAUGGAUGAUUGCAAGUCUUACAAAACUAACAAGUUUUCACCUUUUUCCCUUUACCUUUUUAAGAUCUAGUAGUCACUUUAUUCAUCAAGUUAUGAAGGUUGUAAGAAUAUCAAGAACAUUUUCAUCAACCACCAAGAACUCAACAAUCUAAACGUCCACCUAUAACAACAACAACGCCAACAAGUCACGGCUAACACCACAAUAAACAACAAUAAUCGGCCACUCUUCAAGUUCACAACAACAACUCCAACAAGUUCAAGCUCAAGUUUAGAUUUUAGACUCAAAGUAUUAGUGAACAAGAAAUCCAAAACUUAGAAACAACUAAACAAACAAAAAUUCUUGGCCAACACACAACAAUAACACAAUUUUCGGCCACGAACACAAAAUGGACAGUUUUGCAAUUUUCAGAAAAUUUCAGUUUUCAACCUUUUUUUUUUUUUAAUUUUCAACCAAGGGAGCCAAGAUUGGUAUUGUAGGAACAAAACAAAAGAUGGCUUUGAUACCAAAUGAUACCGGAAUUGUCAAGAAGACAAGAAAACACACUCAAACAGUCCACAAAUCCGAAGAUUCAAGGACAGUUUAGAGACCACACUCGGAUUCAACAAUAACAACAAUAAUGAUGAGAUAAAGGGUGUAUUUUAACACCAAAACAGCCAACCCAAAGUACAAUUAAUAAAAACAAUGAGAAGACUAGAUGAACAACAACAAGGAUAUAACAAUAACAACAAGUCACGGGUUACAAUACUAGAACAAGAACACCAAUAAUUAGAACAAAGUAAAGAUAGAAAGAUAGACAAAUGGAGAUGUAAUAUUAACAAACCAAGAGCUUAUUCCACUCUUGAACCUUUAAUACCACACACAACAUAAACCUAUCUCUUAUGUGACCUCAAGGGAACCGGAAUCCCCAAGCAACCAACGUUUCUAAUUAAGCUACCAACACAAGGAUUCCACCUUGCAAGACACUCUAUGGUGCUCUCAAAACAUAUCAUCAAAGUCUAAAUGACAAAAUAACCUAAUUGUUCUAUUUAUAGGCUAGGGCAAC